Non-coding RNA from Meleagris gallopavo (turkey), 580 nucleotides. The record is from RefSeq and is a predicted model, not a curated record. Lineage: Eukaryota; Metazoa; Chordata; Aves; Galliformes; Phasianidae.
UUGAUGUGGAACUGUGUACUGUCACAGAUAUGCUUUGACUUAUUAUGUUCCACAAUAGUCAGAUGUGGUACCUGGUCUGUCAGAUUAGUUAGCAAUUUCAUAGCUUGCUUUUCUGGUCUCUGAAGGAUGACUCGCCUCGUGUUAAAACAGAAAUGGAUGCCAUGAAGAACUUAAGUCAUCAGGAUGUUUGUCAAUCAUAUCACGUAACAGAGACAUCAAAGAAAAUAUUCAUGGUCUUAGAGAUUGUUUCAGCGAUGGCUGAUGUUCACAGUCAGGGUUAUGGCCACAGAGACCUCAAACCAGGAUGCCUUGAUUACUACCUGAACACAUGCUGUGGAAGCCCAGCAAAUGCAGCACCAGAGCUAAUCCAGGGCAAAGCGUAUAUUGGCUCAGAGGCAGAUAUUUGGAGCAUGGGUGUACUGCGGUAUGCUCUGUUGUGUGGGCUUCUUCCUUUGAUGCUGACAAUGUGAUGGCACUCUGCAGGAGGAUAACAAGAGGACAAUACACCGUUCCAAAAUGGCUUUCACCUAGCAGCACGCUGCUACUUAACCAACUGCUACAGGCACCUUGAAGUUCUUAG